RNAcentral lists this ribosomal RNA (471 nucleotides) under [Eubacterium] saphenum. RNAcentral's name for it is "bacterial SSU rRNA". It matches the Rfam family "Bacterial small subunit ribosomal RNA", at positions 28 to 497 of the family's 1533-position model. Lineage: Bacteria; Bacillati; Bacillota; Clostridia; Peptostreptococcales; Anaerovoracaceae. The record is from RNAcentral.
GAUGAACGCCGACGGCGUGCUUAACACAUGCAAGUCGAGCGAGAAACUACAUGCAGACACUUCGGUAGAAGCGAGUAGCGGAAAGCGGCGGACGGGUGAGUAACGCGUAGGCAACCUGCCCUUCACAGAGGUAUAGCCUCGGGAAACCGGGAUUAAAACCACAUAAAAUCAUAGGUUCGCAUGAACCAAAGGUCAAAGAUUUAUCGGUGAAGGAUGGGCCUGCGUCUGAUUAGCUGGUUGGUAGGGUAAAAGCCUACCAAGGCGACGAUCAGUAGCCGACCUGAGAGGGUGAUCGGCCACAUUGGAACUGAGACACGGUCCAAACUCCUACGGGAGGCAGCAGUGGGGGAUAUUGCACAAUGGGGGAAACCCUGAUGCAGCAACGCCGCGUGAGGUAUGAAGGCCUUUGGGUUGUAAGCCUCUGUCCUAGGGGAAGAAAAAAAUGACGGUACCCGAGGAGGAAGCCCGGUA